UACGUAGGGGGCAAGCGUUGUCCGGAUUUAUUGGGCGUAAAGAGCGUGUAGGCGGUUUGGUAGGUCCGCUGUGAAACUCGAGGCUCAACCUCGAGACGCCGGUUGAAACCGUUUGGCUAGAGUCCGGAAGAGGAGAGUGGAAUUCCCGGUGUAGCGGUGAAAUGCGCAGAUAUCGGGAAGAACACCCGUGGCGAAGGCGGCUCUCUGGGACGGUACUGACGCUGAGACGCGAAAGCGUGGGGAGCGAACAGG
Molecule: ribosomal RNA, 252 nt
Filed under: uncultured bacterium
Lineage: Bacteria
Description: partial 16S ribosomal RNA
Rfam family: Bacterial small subunit ribosomal RNA
Source: RNAcentral